UUCUUGCCGGGGGUGCUUUACCCAUGCAAGUCGAACGGUGAAGCAGAGCUUGCUCUGUGGAUCAGUGGCGAACGGGUGAGUAACACGUGAGCAACCUGCCCCUGACUCUGGGAUAAGCGCUGGAAACGGCGUCUAAUACUGGAUAUGAGCUGCGAUCGCAUGGUCAGCAGUUGGAAAGAUUUUUCGGUCUGGGAUGGGCUCACGGCCUAUCAGCUUGUUGGUGAGGUAAUGGCUCACCAAGGCGUCGACGGGUAGCCGGCCUGAGAGGGUGACCGGCCACACUGGGACUGAGACACGGCCCAGACUCCUACGGGAGGCAGCAGUGGGGAAUAUUGCACAAUGGGCGAAAGCCUGAUGCAGCAACGCCGCGUGAGGGAUGACGGCCUUCGGGUUGUAAACCUCUUUUAGCAGGGAAGAAGCGAAAGUGACGGUACCUGCAGAAAAAGCGCCGGCUAACUACGUGCCAGCAGCCGCGGUAAUACGUAGGGCGCAAGCGUUAUCCGGAAUUAUUGGGCGUAAAGAGCUCGUAGGCGGUUUGUCGCGUCUGCUGUGAAAUCCCGAGGCUCAACCUCGGGUCUGCAGUGGGUACGGGCAGACUAGAGUGCGGUAGGGGAGAUUGGAAUUCCUGGUGUAGCGGUGGAAUGCGCAGAUAUCAGGAGGAACACCGAUGGCGAAGGCAGAUCUCUGGGCCGUUACUGACGCUGAGGAGCGAAAGGGUGGGGAGCAAACAGGCUUAGAUACCCUGGUAGUCCACCCCGUAAACGUUGGGAACUAGUUGUGGGGUCCAUUCCACGGAUUCCGUGACGCAGCUAACGCAUUAAGUUCCCCGCCUGGGGAGUACGGCCGCAAGGCUAAAACUCAAAGGAAUUGACGGGGACCCGCACAAGCGGCGGAGCAUGCGGAUUAAUUCGAUGCAACGCGAAGAACCUUACCAAGGCUUGACAUAUACGAGAACGGGCCAGAAAUGGUCAACUCUUUGGACACUCGUAAACAGGUGGUG
RNAcentral lists this ribosomal RNA (1000 nucleotides) under Microbacterium sp. HBUM178256. Its description in RNAcentral is "bacterial SSU rRNA". It matches the Rfam family "Bacterial small subunit ribosomal RNA", at positions 34 to 1043 of the family's 1533-position model. Lineage: Bacteria; Bacillati; Actinomycetota; Actinomycetes; Micrococcales; Microbacteriaceae. The record is from RNAcentral.